This is a long non-coding RNA of Entelurus aequoreus (snake pipefish), 1029 nucleotides long. RefSeq lists it as uncharacterized. The record is from RefSeq and is a predicted model, not a curated record. The transcript has 2 exons. Lineage: Eukaryota; Metazoa; Chordata; Actinopteri; Syngnathiformes; Syngnathidae.
UGUAAAUAGGUUCCACUCUAUUAUUUUCCGUGACAUACCUUUUUGUUUCCCUGGGGGCUGAUUUGGCGUCGCACCUUUGUGACCAGCUUCAGUGAGCACUGACGCUCGAGCUGGAAUGGCCAGGUGUGAGUACGAGGGUUUGUGACCCCCAAAUUAAAAGGCCGAGGUCCAAAGUGAGGUAAAUAUUGGUUUUAAUGAGCAAACAUCAGCCAAGGAACUGACAUUGGUCUGCGGAGAGAGACGGGAUCUAUAAAGCACAAUGCACACGUGUGUGGGGGGGGGGGACAUAUUUAUCUGUUACACAAGGCGCCCCCUACAGUGGGAGCAGGAGAAUCUAGAGAACAUACAGAUCAGGAUCCAAGUCUACGGUACAAAAACUUAGCAGCAAUAUGUUAAAACACCAAAGGCUAACAAAGUAGUUCCAUUUAGAAAAAGUCACAGUAUUUGUUAAAAAGGUAGAAAGAGUUGUAGGCGAGGUCCAGGGCAACACUGUGGCCCAGACCUCGUGUACAAACGUGACAAAAAUAUACACCUCAAAAUCAUCUUGUUAGUUCGGCUAUCUUGACAGGUUAUGUCUUUUUAAUACAAAAAUAAGGACAAAUAUAAAUUAAUAUAUAUUAAAAGAAUCAGGGGGCGGAGCUACUUAAAAAGUACAGGUAUUUAUAAAUACUCGUGACUGGGGAGUAUAUGUAGUGAACCUGCAGGUAACGUAGAGGAAGAACUCGUACAGGUGAGCAUGGAGGGAAAAGACUGACAAAACACACCAACGCUCAUGUUUUUCAGCACCAUUCACUAUUUUCUUCAAUUAGAAAAACAAUUUGCAAGUAUAAAAACAUUUUUCUUCAAUUAAAAAUGAGAUUUGCAAGUAAAAAAAAUAUUUUUUUUUAAAAUGAAAAAAACCCUGAUUUGUAAGCAAAAAAAAAAAAUGUUCUUCAAUUAAAAAUGAGAUUCGCAAGUUAAAAAACUUUUUCGAUUAAUAAAACGAUUCGCAAGUGUAAAAACAAUUUUAAUAAAACAAUUGAUUAAAAA